AACGGGGGGAACUAGCGUUAUUCGUCAUGACUGGGCGUAAAGGGUAUGUAGGUGGUAUUUUAAGCACAAUGUAAAAUAGUAGAAGUUCAAAUUCUAACCCGCAUUGUGUACUGAUUUACUUGAGUAUGGUAGAGGAUCGGGGAACCUUUGGGGGAACGGUGGUAUGUGCAAAUCCCAAUCAGGGACCGUCAACGAGCGAAAGCGCUAAUCUGGGCCAUAACUGACACUGAGGUACUAAAGCAUGCUGGUAGCAAACGGG
This 259-nucleotide ribosomal RNA is filed under the name uncultured bacterium. Its description in RNAcentral is "partial 16S ribosomal RNA". It matches the Rfam family "Bacterial small subunit ribosomal RNA", at positions 524 to 776 of the family's 1533-position model. The record is from RNAcentral.